CAACUUUCAACAACGGAUCUCUUGGCUCUCGCAUCGAUGAAGAACGCAGCGAAAUGCGAUACGUAAUGUGAAUUGCAGAAUUCAGUGAAUCAUCGAAUCUUUGAACGCACAUUGCACUCUCUGGUAUUCCGGAGAGUAUGCUUGUUUGAGA
RNAcentral lists this ribosomal RNA (151 nucleotides) under uncultured fungus. RNAcentral's name for it is "partial 5.8S ribosomal RNA". It matches the Rfam family "5.8S ribosomal RNA". Rfam says of the family: 5.8S ribosomal RNA (5.8S rRNA) is a component of the large subunit of the eukaryotic ribosome. It is transcribed by RNA polymerase I as part of the 45S precursor that also contains 18S and 28S rRNA. Functionally, it is thought that 5.8S rRNA may be involved in ribosome translocation. The record is from RNAcentral. Lineage: Eukaryota; Fungi.